UACGUAGGGGGCAAGCGUUGUCCGGAAUUAUUGGGCGUAAAGAGCGUGUAGGCGGCCAGAUAAGUCCGCUGUGAAAUCUCGAGGCUCAACUUCGAGCUGUCGGUGGAAACUAUCUGGCUAGAGUCCGGAAGAGGAGAAUGGAAUUCCUGGUGUAGCGGUGAAAUGCGUAGAUAUCGGGAGGAACACCUGUGGCGAAGGCGGCCCCCUGGUUGUAUACUGACGCUGAGACGCGAAAGCGUGGGGAGCAAACAGG
This 253-nucleotide ribosomal RNA is filed under the name uncultured bacterium. RNAcentral's name for it is "partial 16S ribosomal RNA". It matches the Rfam family "Bacterial small subunit ribosomal RNA", at positions 524 to 776 of the family's 1533-position model. The record is from RNAcentral.